Molecule: non-coding RNA, 92 nt
Filed under: uncultured Psychrobacillus sp.
Lineage: Bacteria; Bacillati; Bacillota; Bacilli; Caryophanales; Bacillaceae
Description: Glycine riboswitch
Rfam family: Glycine riboswitch aptamer
About the family: This family represents the bacterial glycine riboswitch. Glycine riboswitches usually consist of two metabolite-binding aptamers domains with similar structures in tandem.
Source: RNAcentral
ACGCAACUCUGGAGAGUGCUUUCAAAGUUAAGUGGAAAGCCACCAAAGGGGAAAGCCAUCUUAUGGUAAACUUUCAGGUGCCAGGACAGAGA